Molecule: ribosomal RNA, 253 nt
Filed under: uncultured bacterium
Lineage: Bacteria
Description: partial 16S ribosomal RNA
Rfam family: Bacterial small subunit ribosomal RNA
Source: RNAcentral
UACGGGGGGGGCAAGCGUUGUUCGGAAUUACUGGGCGUAAAGGGCUCGUAGGCGGCUUUGCAAGUCGGGUGUGAAAGCCCUCAGCUCAACUGAGGAAGUGCGCCCGAAACUGCAGAGCUUGAGUGCCGGAGAGGGUGGCGGAAUUCCCCAAGUAGAGGUGAAAUUCGUAGAUAUGGGGAGGAACACCGGUGGCGAAGGCGGCCACCUGGACGGUAACUGACGCUGAGACGCGAAAGCGUGGGGAGCAAACAGG